This 3192-nucleotide unclassified non-coding RNA is filed under the name Hevea brasiliensis (rubber tree). Lineage: Eukaryota; Viridiplantae; Streptophyta; Magnoliopsida; Malpighiales; Euphorbiaceae. The record is from RNAcentral.
UGACCCUCAAACCUUUCUUGGCGGAUGGACUCAUCAAAAUAUUUCUCACUGUACAUGGUACGGUGUCACUUGCUCCAUCAAAGGAGCUCGAGUCCGGUCACUUAGCCUUUCUGGCCUCGGCCUUUCUGGUCCCAUACCCUCUCAUCUCUCAAACCUUAGUUCACUCUUUAUGCUUGACCUUGCCAAUAAUUCAUUUUAUGGCCAGAUUCCAUCUGAGCUUAGUCGUCUCUCCCACCUUCAAUAUGUUUUCCUUGAAAUGAAUUCCAUCAAUGGCACCAUCCCUGUUCUUCUUUCUCAGUGUCAUAACCUUAAGACGAUCCGUUUAAAUGAGAACCAACUUACUGGUAACAUUCCUUCUCAACUAGGUUAUCUGCAAAGACUUGAAGUUCUCCACUUGUCUAUCAAUAACCUCACUGGUGCUAUCCCGGCAACAUUUGGAAAUCUAACCUCUCUCACGAACCUUUCCAUCUCAAGAAAUCAGCUUCUUGGUGAAAUUCCUAGUGAGCUGGGUCGUCUUCGUAACAUUCGUGAGUUUCAUGUAUCCGAGAAUCAGCUUAGUGGAGAGAUUCCAUAUUCUAUUUGGAAUAUUUCUUCUGUGGUCUUCUUGUCUCUAACACGCAACAACCUUACAGGAAAGCUACCGAGUGAUAUGGGUUCUGCUCUUCCAAAUCUCAGGGUGCUUUACUUGGCACGAAACAGGCUUGAAGGAAUAUUGCCCAGUUCCUUAUCCAAUGCCUCACGUAUUCAAUUUCUGGAUCUCUCUUCCAAUGGUUUUCAUGGGCCAAUUCCCCUGUUUGGAGGGAUGAAAGAUCUUCUUCGUUUAAUUAUUGGGAAUAAUUUUUUUCAUUCUACUACAAAGCUUAAUUUCCAGCUAAUUGAUUCUCUCAAAAACUGUACUCGGCUGCAGUAUCUCAUGAUCUUUUCCAACCAGUUGGCUGGUCAACUUCCAAGUUCCGUAGCAAAUCUGUCGACCCAUCUGCAACAGUUUUGUUUUUCUGAUAAUUUAUUGACUGGAAGCUUCCCUCAAGGUAUCGAAAGGUUUCAAGAACUCGUGUCCCUAUCGAUAGAAAAAAAUUCUUUUGUUGGUGAUAUACCAGAAACCAUAGGUAGGCUUAAGAAAAUACAGAAUUUUGCAGCAUACGACAAUAUGUUCUCAGGCGAAAUUCCGGAUAUAUUUGGCAAUUUUACGCAACUCGCUUCUCUAAGGAUAGGAGGAAACCAGUUUUUUGGUAGAAUACCCACUAGCAUCAGAUCUUGCCAGCAAUUGAAUACACUAGAUCUAGCUGCGAAUAUGCUCAAUGCAAGCAUACCAAAGGAGAUUUAUGGGCUUUCCACAUUAGUCAGGUUGAAUUUGCGACAAAAUGCUUUAUCCGGUCCUUUACCUGCAGAAGUUGGUAACUUGAAACAGAUGCAAUUCAUGGAUGUUUCUGACAACCAGUUGUCAGGAAACAUUGCCUCAACAAUUGCUAGCUGUUCAAGCUUGCAACGUCUCUUCAUGGCUGGAAACAACUUCACAGGUUCCAUCCCAAGCACAAUCGGACAAUUAGCAUCUCUCGAGGCCUUGGAUCUCUCUUCAAAUAGACUCACUGGUACAAUCCCUGAAGAGCUAGGACAACUUCAGUAUUUAGUCCAGCUUAACCUGUCCUUCAAUCAUUUGGAAGGUGCAGUUCCAAUGACCGGUGUCUUCAUGAACAUCAGCCAGGAUAAUCUCAAAGGAAACGACAGGCUUUGCCAUGAUAAUCAAACAACAGCAGAAAAAUUGGGACUCCCUCAAUGCACUGCGAAGAGAAGAACCAGGCAUCUUCUGUUGAAGGUCAUACUUCCUGUUGCUAUUGUCGCUUGCUUAAUGAUUAUGUUUUUGUGCUUUGCAUGCAAAGUUAUAUACUGGAAAAAGCAAAAGACGAAGAGAGGCAAAGGAAGGUUGUCCUCUCCUCUAAAGGGGUUGCCUCCAAAGAUAUCUUACUUUGAUAUCCGGCUAGCGACAGACAACUUUUCAAUGGAAAAUUUGAUAGGGAAGGGUGGAUUUGGUUCCGUUUACAAAGGCGUCAUCAGAAAUGUUGAAGAUGGAUCCUCCACUGGAGAAACCAUCCUUGCUGUAAAAGUCCUGGACUUACAACAAAGUAAAGCUGCACGGAGUUUUGCAGCAGAAUGUGAAGCACUGAGGAGUGUAAGGCACAGGAACCUUGUGAAGGUUAUCACUUCUUGCUCUAGCAUUGACCUUAAUGGAGAAGAAUUCAAAGCUUUGGUUAUGGAAUUCAUGUCCCAUGGUAACUUAGAUAAGUGGUUGUAUCAAGAAGAUGAUGAAGAAUCUGGUUUAUACCUAACGUUAUCGCAAAGACUGAAUAUUGCAGUAGAUGUGGCUUCUGCCAUUGAUUACUUGCACCAUGACUGUGAUCCGCCAGUAGUUCAUUGUGAUCUGAAACCUGGAAAUGUGCUAUUAGACGAUGAUAUGGUGGCUCAUGUUGGUGAUUUUGGAUUGGCAAGGUUGCUUCCUCAAAAUCCAUCAGGGAACGACAGUAGCACAAUAGGACUCAAGGGCUCAAUUGGUUACAUAGCUCCAGAGUACGGUCUGGGUGGCAAACCUUCAACCUCCGGGGAUGUCUACAGUUUUGGGAUCCUGCUACUCGAGAUGUUUAUAGCAAAGAAGCCCACUAACGAAAUGUUCAAAGAAGGUUUAAGCUUGAAUAAUUUUGCGACGGCAGUAAAUGAGAAUCAUGUCAUGGAGAUUGCCGAUCCAAGGCUUUUCAAGAACAAUUGGUACAAUUCAUUGCAAAGAACAGACAUUGGUUAUUCUAAUGAUGGCUCCAGCGGAAAUAGCAAUACAAGUAGUGGCAGUACUAUUUAUUCGCUAGACAAAAGCCGAGAGUUGGUAGCUGCUGCUAUAAGAGUUGGUUUGUCAUGUGCAGCUUCUUCGGCGAGAGAUCGUUUAUCCAUGAGAGAAGCCUUAGCGAUGCUGCAAAAGAUCAAGAAAGCAAUGCCCCAGACCUGAGAAAGUGCUUUGCGUAAUAAAUUGUAUUAAUCGAAUCCAACCGAAGUAGGAGUUGAACCCAGUUGAAGUGAAAGUUUAGUUUGAUUAUUUAUGUUCUUUUUUUUUUUUUGAAAACUUUGAUUUUUUAUAUUCUUAUUCUUCGGGCCUAUUAAAUUUCAUAAAUUAUGCAUUGUAUUCCAUAAAGUUGAUAAAAUCAACAAAAA